Molecule: ribosomal RNA, 257 nt
Filed under: uncultured bacterium
Lineage: Bacteria
Description: partial small subunit ribosomal RNA
Rfam family: Bacterial small subunit ribosomal RNA
Source: RNAcentral
AGGACGAACGCUGGCGGCGUGCUUAACACAUGCAAGUCGGGCGGUAAGGCCCUUUCGGGGGUACACGAGCGGCGAACGGGUGAGUAACACGUGGGCGACCUGCCCUCAGCUCUGGGAUAAGCCUGGGAAACUGGGUCUAAUACCGGAUAUGACUUCACAUCGCAUGGUGUGUUGUGGAAAGUUUUUUCGGCUGGGGAUGGGCCCGCGGCCUAUCAGCUUGUUGGUGGGGUGAUGGCCUACCAAGGCGACGACGGGUA